Molecule: non-coding RNA, 3981 nt
Organism: Arachis ipaensis
Lineage: Eukaryota; Viridiplantae; Streptophyta; Magnoliopsida; Fabales; Fabaceae
Source: RefSeq, a predicted model, not a curated record
CCCGGUUUUUGGACUAAGAUCAAGUGAAGUAUGGUGAGUUUUAACCUGCACCUGGUCAAUUGAGGUUAAUGAAGAACCUUUUACCUCUAAUACAGGUUGUUCCAAGCAUAGGAAUGGCAUUCUCCUCUGUAUGUUCUAGAAUUGGUUAUCGAAGAUAAAAAAUUGAUCCAUUAAAGAAGACAAAUCCUUUCGAGAAAAAUUGUAAAGUUAGGAUUAUUGUGAAAAGGUAUAAGAAGAUGGAAUAUGUGUUAACCUUUGUGAAUAUUCAGCACAACAUGCUAUUAGUCCUAGCAUGGCAAAGACCCUGAGAAAGAAUAGGGAACUAAGCUUGCAUGCCAAACGGAUAGCUGAGAUCAUUGAUUAAGCUGGAGUUACAAUGAGAAACACAUAUAAGAGUUUAGCAACUGCUACUGGUGGCUAUGAUAAAUUAACUUUUACUGAAAAAGAUCUUCAGAAUCAUGUAGCAAAAAGUGUCAGAGUCAUACAAGAGGAGGGGGAUGAGCAAUCAUUAAUGCAGUAUUUUCAUCGGAUGCAACAACAAAACUGCAACUUCUUUUACAAAGUUAAAUUGGAUGAGCAACAUCACAUAGAGCAUGCUUUUUGGGCUAAUGCUAGAAGUCGUACUGCUUAUGAGCACUUUGGGGACGUUGUGAGCUUUGAUACGACGUACCUAACAAAUAGGUAUGAUAUGCCUUUUGCCUCAUUUGUUGGGGUUAACCACCAUGGCCAAUCAUUGCUACUUGGUUGCGCUCUUCUUUCAUGCGAAGAAGAGAGUUCCUUUGUUUGGUUAUUUGAUUGUUGGAUACGAUGUAUGGGUGGCAAGCCACCUAUUGGCAUAUUGACGGAUCAAUGCAAAGUUUUGCGGAAUGUCAUUGAAAAAUUGUUGCCAAUGACACAACAUCGAUGGUGUAUUUGACAUAUCAUGAAGAAAAUUUCAGAAAAAAUAGGAGCAUGCAAGUAAUUUAACGAGAUUAGUGCUGAUAUGACACAUAUUGUGUGAGAUUCUAGGUCUAAGGAAGCAUUUGAGAGCUCUUGGAUUGAUUUUAUCAACAGAUUUAUUUUGCAUGAUAAUAAUUGGUUAGCAGAUUUGUACGAAGAACGUGACAGGUGAGUCACUAUGUUUCUUAGUAACAGUUUUUGGGCAGGCAUGCGUAGCACUCAAAGGAGUGAAAGCAUGCAUGCGUUUAUGAAAGGCUACCUAACCUCAAAGAGCAACUUGCAACAAUUUGUAACACAAUAUGACAAUUGUCUUGCAAAUAAAGCUCAACAAGAAUAUGAAUUAGAUGUUGCCAGUUUCAAUACCAUUAUCCCUUGUGCUACUGCCGCUGCUAUUGAAAAACAGUUUCGGUUGUGCUAAACAUGCACACCACUUUCAGCCACUAUUUUCAGCCACCGUAUUUAUAUACAUAUACAAUACAAAAUACAAAAUUCAAAAAUUAAAAAUAAAAAUCUCACUCCCAACCUUACUCUCACGUGCUGAAACAAUGUUCUUCUUUCUCCUUCCUUUACUCUCACUCUCACUCUCACUCUCCGAUGCGACUCUUUCCUCAUCCUCAUUCUCAACGGUGAUUCUCCUUCCUCCUCUCUCCGGCGACAUGAUUCUCCUUCCCUCUCUCUCGGGUGGCACGAUUCUCCUUUGCUCUCUUUCAGGCCCGGUUGCGAUUCUCCUUCCUCUGUCUCGGGCGUGGUGCUCUCUGUCUCAGUUUUGAAAUAUGCGAAAGAAGACUACACUAAAACGAGUAGAAAGAGAACCAGAAAACAGGGAUACCAAAGAAAAUAAAAGAAAAAUGUAUCCAAAAAACUUCGAAGGAGAUGGAGUGGAGAAAGGUCCUUUUAAGGACAAAAAAGGACAAAAAGGAAUUGAAGCAAGAAGACUCUACAAAAUCAAAGAGAGAAAAGAAGCAAGAAGGAGGAGCAAACACAAGUUCGAAUGAAAACCGGAAUGAAAAGAAAACACACUCACCAUCAAUGCCUACCUUCGACCUUGGAGUUGAAUUUCCUCCAACACCUCCAGCACCUCCAACACCUCUAACAACUAUGACCUUGGAUUCAAUUGAUGUUCUAACCCAACAAGUGUUGGGUUCAAAGAUACCAUGCCUAAAUCAAACAACAGAUGUGCCAAUAGAGGUGUCAGAACUAAUUGUUGAGGAAUUAGUAUUGGAUGCUAAUAUGAUUGAAAAAUUAUACGAGUGGGUGAUGGACAAAAGAAAAGAUGAAGAGAAGAUUGUGGAAACAUUUAGUGGCUAGCGCAAUCUCUUCCUUAAAAGAACUAAUGCGCAAACAUUAAAGCCACGAAAUGAAAUAGAUAAUUGGGUUAGUAACACUAAAUAUUUUAUUUAGUAUAAAAUAUUUAUUUUAUUCUUAAAUUAUUUGAUUAUUAAUUGUUUGCUUUGGUUGUAUCAAGGUGGUCAACUAUUAUUGAUGCAUGCUUAAUGAGUUACCACAAACAAGAUUCAAGAAAGAUAUAUAUUGCAUGAAUUCAGACUCAGUGGUAAGAAAUUUUAUUAUGUAUCUCUUCGUUAUUUUAUUUGACAGAUUUUGUUCUAUUCUAAUUUAUGAUCAAUUUGAUUUUAAUUGCGGUUAUUGAGUUUUUAUAAAGAUGAGCAAGGUAAGAAGAGCUCUACAUCAGCUGACAUAUCUAGGAUCCCUAAUUUUAUCAAAAUUAGGAUGCGAGGAAGAAAACUUGUUUUCUUACCUUUUUACCAUAACCAUCAUUGGUGGUUAUAUGCAUUAGAUAUUUGUAAUAACAAGUUUUACGUCCUCGAUCUGUUGUACACAUCUUAGACUGCUGAAUGGGAUGAAAUAGAUCAAUAUGUUGUAAGUUUAUUUUUUUAUAACAACUUUUAUUUAGGUCUUGAUAUUUGAUUAUCAUAUAACUUUGACAAUUUCAGGACAUUUUUUAACAGGCAAGUUAUCUUGAGAAUAUGUUAGGAAUUGCGGAUCCUGCAUAUGUUCAAACCUCCUCAACUCCAACAAUUGAAUAUCUGGACACCCAAACAACCAAAUUUGCAUGAUUGUGGUUUGUUUGUAAUGAAAUGAAUGGAAUUGUGGGAACUAUCUAAAGCCAUGCCACAAUUCCAUCCAUUUCAUUACAAACAAACCACAAUCAUGCAAAUUUGGUUGUUUGGGUAUGUUCAGAUAUUCAAUUGUUGGAGUUGAGGGGGUUUGAACAUAUGCAGGAUCCGCAAUUCCUAACAUGUUGUCAAGAUAACUUGCCUGUUAAAAAAUGUUAUAAAAUUGUCAAAGUUAUAUGAUAAUCAAAUAUCAAGACCUAAAUAAAAGUUGUUAUAACAAAAUAAACUUACAAUAUAUUGAUCUAUUUCAUCCCGUUCAGCAGUCUAAGAUGUGUACAACGGGUCGAGGACGUAAAACUUGUUAUUACAAACAUCUAAUGCAUAUAACCACAAAUGACGGUUAUGGCAAAAAGGUAAGAAAAUAAGUUUUUUUCCUCGCAUCCUAAUUUUGAUAAAAUUAGGGAUCCUAGAUAUGUCAGCUGAUGUAGAGCUCUUCCCACCUUGCCCAUCUUUAUAAAAACUCAAUAACCACAAUUAAAAUCAAAUUGAUCUAAAUUAGAAUAGAACAAAAUCUGUCAAAUAAAAAAACGAAGAGAUACAUAAUAAAAUUUCUUACCACUGAGUCUGAAUUCAUGUAAUAUAUAUCUUUCUUGAAUCUUGUUUGUGGUAACUCAUUAAGCAUGCAUCAAUAAUAAUUGACCACCUUGAUACAAGCAAAGCAAACAAUUAAUAAUCAAAUAAUUCAAGAAUAAAAUAAAUACUUUAUACUAAAUAAAAUAUUUUGUGUUACUAACCCAAUUAUCUAUUUUAUUUCGUGGCUUUAAUGUUUGCACAUUAGUUCUUUUAAGGAAGACAUUGCGCUGGCCACUAAGUGUGUGUUUGGAUUACAGUUUGCAAACGGGAGUUUGCAUAGAAUUGAUUUUGCAAACUUGAUUUUGAUGAAAAGUAAGUUUGUGUUAACGUGAUU